AAUUCUUAGUGGCGAACGGGUGAGUAACGCGUAGGCAACCUGCCCUUUAGACGGGGACAACAUUCCGAAAGGAGUGCUAAUACCGGAUGUGAUCAUCUUGCCGCAUGGCAGGAUGAAGAAAGAUGGCCUCUACAAGUAAGCUAUCGCUAAAGGAUGGGCCUGCGUCUGAUUAGCUAGUUGGUGAGAUAACGGCCCACCAAGGCGACGAUCGGUAGCCGGACUGAGAGGUUGAACGGCCACAUUGGGACUGAGAUACGGCCCAGACUCC
This 268-nucleotide ribosomal RNA is filed under the name uncultured Phascolarctobacterium sp. RNAcentral describes it as "partial 16S ribosomal RNA". It matches the Rfam family "Bacterial small subunit ribosomal RNA", at positions 87 to 339 of the family's 1533-position model. Lineage: Bacteria; Bacillati; Bacillota; Negativicutes; Acidaminococcales; Acidaminococcaceae. The record is from RNAcentral.